Molecule: ribosomal RNA, 1364 nt
Filed under: uncultured prokaryote
Description: partial 16S ribosomal RNA
Rfam family: Bacterial small subunit ribosomal RNA
Source: RNAcentral
GUCGAACGAAAAAUUCUAGCUCGCUAGAAUGGAAAGUGGCGAAAGGGUGAGUAACACGUGAAUAAUCUACCUUCAAGUCGGGGAUAGCCUUUGGAAACGAAGAUUAAUACCGGAUGUGAAUAUGAAAUCGCAUGGUUUUAUAUUUAAAAUUAUUUUGCUUGAAGAUGAGUUCGCGUCCUAUUAGCUAGUUGGUGGGGUAAUGGCCUACCAAGGCGAUGACAGGUAGGUGGUCUGAGAGGAUGGUCACCCACACUGGGACUGAGACACUGCCCAGACUCCUACGGGAGGCUGCAGUCGAGAAUCUUCCGCAAUGAGCGAAAGCUUGACGGAGCGAUGCCGCGUGAGGGAUGAAGGCUUUCGGGUCGUAACCUCUGUCACUCGGAACGAAGAUCUGACGGUACCGAGAGAGGAAGCCACGGCUAACUACGUGCCAGCAGCCGCGGUAAUACGUAGGUGGCAAGCGUUAUUCGGAUUUAUUGGGCGUAAAGGGUCCGUAGGGGGGUUGUUAAGUCUGAUGUGAAAGCCAACGGCUCAACCGUUGAACUGCAUUGGAAACUGACAAACUAGAGUAUCGGAGAGGUAAGUGGAAUUCUUGGUGUAGCGGUGGAAUGCUUAGAUAUCAGAAGGAACACCAAAGGCGAAGGCAGCUUUCUGGAUUGAUACUGACCCUGAGGGACGAAAGCGUGGGUAGCAAACAGGAUUAGAUACCCUGGUAGUCCACGCUGUAAACGGUCUACACUAGAUGUGGGAGGAUUUGACCCUUUCCGUGUCUUAGCUAACGCAUUAAGUAUACCGCCUGGGGAGUACGGUCGCAAGACUAAAACUCAAAGGAAUUGACGGGGGCCCGCACAAGCGGUGGAGCAUGUGGCUUAAUUCGAGGCAACGCGAAGAACCUUACCUGGAUUUGACAUAUAUCUGACCGUUUUAGAGAUAAAACCUUCUUUCGAGACAGAUAUACAGGUGCUGCAUGGCUGUCGUCAGCUCGUGCCGUGAGGUGUUCGGUUAAGUCCGGCAACGAGCGCAACCCAUAUCACUAGUUACCAGCGCGUAAUGGCGGGGACUCUAGAGAGACUGCCCGAGUCAAUCGGGAGGAAGGCGUGGACGACGUCAAGUCAGUAUGGCCCUUACACCCAGGGCUGCACACGUGCUACAAUGGCCACUACAGAAGGCAGCAAUACCGCGAGGUGGAGCAAUCCGAGAAAAGUGGCCCCAGUUCGGAUUGGAGUCUGCAACUCGACUCCAUGAAGUCGGAAUCGCUAGUAAAGGCGUAUCAGCUACGACGCCUUGAAUACGUUCCCGGGCCUUGUACACACCGCCCGUCACAUCACGGGAGCCUGGUGCACCCGAAGCCUCUGUACCAACCC